This 466-nucleotide ribosomal RNA is filed under the name uncultured bacterium. Its description in RNAcentral is "partial 16S ribosomal RNA". It matches the Rfam family "Bacterial small subunit ribosomal RNA", at positions 28 to 507 of the family's 1533-position model. The record is from RNAcentral.
GAUGAACGCUGGCGGCGUGCUUAACACAUGCAAGUCGAACGAUGAAGCCCAGCUUGCUGGGUGGAUUAGUGGCGAACGGGUGAGUAACACGUGAGUAACCUGCCCUUAACUCUGGGAUAAGCCUGGGAAACUGGGUCUAAUACCGGAUAGGAGCGUCCACCGCAUGGUGGGUGUUGGAAAGAUUUAUCGGUUUUGGAUGGACUCGCGGCCUAUCAGCUUGUUGGUGAGGUAAUGGCUCACCAAGGCGACGACGGGUAGCCGGCCUGAGAGGGUGACCGGCGACACGGGGACUGAGACACGGCCCAGACGCCUACGGGGGGCAGCAGUGGGGAAUAUUGCACAAUGGGCGCAAGCCUGAUGCAGAGACGCCGCGUGAGGGAUGACGGCCUUCGGGGUGUAAACCUCUUUCAGUAGGGAAGAAGCGAAAGUGACGGUACCUGCAGAAGAAGCACCGGCUAACUACGUG